Molecule: ribosomal RNA, 1009 nt
Filed under: uncultured bacterium
Lineage: Bacteria
Description: bacterial SSU rRNA
Rfam family: Bacterial small subunit ribosomal RNA
Source: RNAcentral
GAGUUUGAUCCUGGCUCAGGACGAACGCUGGCGGCGUGCCUAACACAUGCAAGUCGAACGGAGAAUCAGCAAUGAUUCUUAGUGGCGAACGGGUGAGUAACGCGUAGACAACCUGCCUUCUAGAUGGGGACAACACUGCGAAAGUGGUGCUAAUACCGAAUGUUGUAUUGAACCUGCAUGGGCUUGAUACUAAAGGUGGCCUCUAUUUAUAAGCUAUCACUAGAAGAUGGGUCUGCGUCUGAUUAGCUAGUUGGUGAGGUAAUGGCUCACCAAGGCGAUGAUCAGUAGCCGGUCUGAGAGGAUGAACGGCCACACUGGGACUGAGACACGGCCCAGACUCCUACGGGAGGCAGCAGUGGGGAAUCUUCCGCAAUGGACGAAAGUCUGACGGAGCAACGCCGCGUGAGUGAAGAAGGUUUUCGGAUCGUAAAGCUCUGUCUUUGAGGACGAAUGUGUCUAAUGUGAAUAAUGUUAGAUAAUGACGGUACUCGAGGAGGAAGCCACGGCUAACUACGUGCCAGCAGCCGCGGUAAUACGUAGGUGGCAAGCGUUGUCCGGAAUUAUUGGGCGUAAAGCGCGCGCAGGCGGGAUAUUAAGUCUGUUUUAAAAGUUCGGGGCUCAACCCCGUGGUGGAAUGGAAACUAAUAUUCUUGAGUGCAGGAGAGGAAAGUGGAAUUCCCAGUGUAGCGGUGAAAUGCGUAGAUAUUGGGAGGAACACCAGUGGCGAAGGCGACUUUCUGGACUGUGUCUGACGCUGAGGCGCGAAAGCCAGGGGAGUGAACGGGAUUAGAUACCCCGGUAAUCCUGGCCGUAAACGAUGGGUACUAGGUGUAGGAGGUAUCGACCCCUUCUGUGCCGGAGUUAACGCAAUAAGUACCUCGCCUGGGGAGUACGGCCGCAAGGUUGAAACUCAAAGGAAUUGACGGGGGCCCGCACAAGCGGUGGAGUAUGUGGUUUAAUUCGACGCAACGCGAAGAACCUUACCAGGGCUUGACAUUGAGUGAAAGAC